This 301-nucleotide ribosomal RNA is filed under the name uncultured bacterium. Its description in RNAcentral is "partial 16S ribosomal RNA". It matches the Rfam family "Bacterial small subunit ribosomal RNA", at positions 509 to 807 of the family's 1533-position model. The record is from RNAcentral.
CAGUCGCCACGGUAAUACAGAGGGUGCGAGCGUUAAUCGGAUUUACUGGGCGUAAAGCGUGCGUAGGCGGCUUUUUAAGUCGUAUGUGAAAUCCCUGAGCUUAACUUAGGAAUUGCAUUCGAUACUGGGAAGCUAGAGUAUGGGAGAGGAUGGUAGAAUUCCAGGUGUAGCGGUGAAAUGCGUAGAGAUCUGGAGGAAUACCGAUGGCGAAGGCAGCCAUCUGGCCUAAUACUGACGCUGAGGUACGAAAGCAUGGGGAGCAAACAGGAUUAGAUACCCCAGUAGUCCCUGUCUCUUAUAC